AUUCUAUGAAGCCUGUGACUGACAGUGGAAAAACACCGUUCAAGCAGAGCAGCACCUGCCUUCAUCUUUGCCCUGGUACAAACUGUUAACGCCAGUUUGGGAGCAGGAGGAUGCCGCUCGAAGGUCAAACCUGUGAAAGCGAAGCCUGCUUGCGACACCAAGAGCUCUGCGUGAACUUGGCUUUAACUUCAGAAGCAGGGGAGCUGCGCGGGGAGGGCGGCCAGAGGAGAUAGCRCAGCACCCGCUGAAACACUUCCAUUCGCUUUCUGCGCCCCUGCCACGAGGAACGACUGCCUUCUGUGCUGAUGACAGAUCUGCUGCUCUGUUAUCAGGCACUGCUCUUUUGCCAUCUCAGUUUCAAACAACUGCCUCUGCUUGAGAGCCGCAGAGCAGCCGUGUUGGACACACCAGGCCUCGGAGGAGGAGGAGGAGGAGGAGGAGGAUGGACGACACUGAGUGAUUUCCUUCGACACGGCUGGGGCUCUGAGGAAUAUCUGCUGAGGUCUCGGCGUGCCCAAGGACCUCCAGGGCUCCUUUGCAGCGCAGCCUCGGGUGCUGCACUGCAGCAAAUGAAACCAUCCGUGGGAGAGGGCUCCAAGGAGCACUCUGGRAAGGUUCUCUGGCAGUGCCGGCAGGCAUGUUUGACUCAACGGAGAAGAUCUCAUCCUGGGACCUGCUGGCUCUCUAUCCAAGUCUGUGGCUCUGUCUGCUGCACGCUGAUUGACCGAGAGACGACCAUGGCAUGUGUUAGCAGAUACUCUCCUAUGUUCCUGAGCUGA
Long non-coding RNA from Apteryx owenii (little spotted kiwi), 779 nucleotides. NCBI's taxonomy places the organism in Eukaryota, Metazoa, Chordata, Aves, Apterygiformes, Apterygidae. The record is from Ensembl.